CAUAACAGUUGCAGCUGCUCCUA
RNAcentral lists this non-coding RNA (23 nucleotides) under Arabidopsis thaliana (thale cress). Lineage: Eukaryota; Viridiplantae; Streptophyta; Magnoliopsida; Brassicales; Brassicaceae. The record is from RNAcentral.